This 450-nucleotide ribosomal RNA is filed under the name uncultured bacterium. Its description in RNAcentral is "partial 16S ribosomal RNA". It matches the Rfam family "Bacterial small subunit ribosomal RNA", at positions 354 to 796 of the family's 1533-position model. The record is from RNAcentral.
GUGGGGAAUUUUGGACAAUGGGCGCAAGCCUGAUCCAGCAAUGCCGCGUGUGUGAAGAAGGCCUUCGGGUUGUAAAGCACUUUUGUCCGGAAAGAAAUCUCCUGGAUUAAUACCUCGGGGGGAUGACGGUACCGGAAGAAUAAGCACCGGCUAACUACGUGCCAGCAGCCGCGGUAAUACGUAGGGUGCGAGCGUUAAUCGGAAUUACUGGGCGUAAAGCGUGCGCAGGCGGCUCUGCAAGACAGAUGUGAAAGCACCGGGCUCAACCUGGGAACUGCAUUUGUGACUGCAAGGCUAGAGUGCGUCAGAGGGAGGUGGAAUUCCGCGUGUAGCAGUGAAAUGCGUAGAGAUGCGGAGGAACACCGAUGGCGAAGGCAGCCUCCUGGGAUGACACUGACGCUCAUGCACGAAAGCGUGGGGAGCAAACAGGAUUAGAAACCCUGGUAGUCC